Felis catus (domestic cat) is the source of this 612-nucleotide long non-coding RNA. RefSeq lists it as uncharacterized. Lineage: Eukaryota; Metazoa; Chordata; Mammalia; Carnivora; Felidae. The transcript is spliced from 4 exons. The record is from RefSeq and is a predicted model, not a curated record.
GCCUGUGUCACAUCAUCACAGAGGCUGAGGUCCCGGAGCGGCUACAGGAAGGGACCCAGCUUCGCUCUCUUCCCGGGUGUCGUCCUGGGUGUGGUGGGUGGGCUUGACCACACCUGAAGUCUCAUCGGCAGACCGCAGGAGGUCACACCGAGGACCACACGCUCCCUUCGCCACCGAGAGUCGGGGACAUCGGGAGUUUGAAGGACCCAGGAAGCCUUGGUAACAGGAGGGUGAGCUGCUGGUUGGCGUAUCCAUGGCUCUCGUUUGUCAGGAUCAACUGCAUCAUUGGAAAGGUAUGGAUUGGCAAGUGUUCUGAACCAGCCCAGUGCUCAGCUUAGGAAGACCCUUAUCCUUGCUUCCAGAAGCUCGCCGUGCACGGAUGGGGAAGAUCAAUGUGUCCCCAGGUCUCUCAUUCAGCAGGUCUGGAGAAUUUGCAGGCCUAAGGACUCCCGGGUGCUUCUGAUCCUGCUCGUCCCAGAACCAACCUUUGAGAACUGCUGGGUCAGAGAGAGGAGGGGCUGGAAGCAAGGAGACCAGCUGGAAAGAAAGGAUAAUAGGGGCGCCUGGGUGGCUCACUGGGUUGAGCGUCUGACUUCAGCUCAGGUCAUGAUC